This 507-nucleotide ribosomal RNA is filed under the name uncultured bacterium. RNAcentral describes it as "partial 16S ribosomal RNA". It matches the Rfam family "Bacterial small subunit ribosomal RNA", at positions 28 to 507 of the family's 1533-position model. The record is from RNAcentral.
GACGAACGCUGGCGGCGUGCUUAACACAUGCAAGUCGAACGGGCCUUGUCCCCUUUUUUUUUGGGGGUGGGGUUAGUGGCGAACGGGUGAGUAACACGUGAGUAACCUGCCCCUCACUUCUGGAUAACCGCUUGAAAGGGUGGCUAAUACGGGGUGUUCUGGCCUGCUCGCAUGGGUGGGUUUGGAAAGAUUCGACCGGUUUGGUUGUUUUGGUGGGGGAUGGGCGCGCGGCCUAUCAGCUUGUUGGUGGGGUGAUGGCCUGCCAAGGCUUUGACGGGUAGCCGGCCUGAGAGGGUGGGCGGUCACACUGGGACUGAGACACGGCCCAGACUCCUACGGGAGGCAGCAGUGGGAAAUAUUGCACAAUGGGCGCAAGCCUGACGCAGCGACGCCGCGUGAGGGAUGGAGGCCUUCGGGUUGUGAACCUCUUUCGCCAGUGAAGAAGGUCCUGCUCUUUGUGGUGGGGUUGACGGUAGCUGGGUUAAUGAAGCGCCGGCUAACUACGUG